RNAcentral lists this ribosomal RNA (253 nucleotides) under uncultured bacterium. RNAcentral's name for it is "partial 16S ribosomal RNA". It matches the Rfam family "Bacterial small subunit ribosomal RNA", at positions 524 to 776 of the family's 1533-position model. The record is from RNAcentral.
UACAUGUGGGGCAAGCGUUGUUCGGAAUUACUGGGCAUAAAGGGUGCGUAGGCGGUUUGCUAAGUCAGGGGUGAAAUCCUGGAGCUCAACUCCAGAACUGCCUUUGAUACUGGCGACCUUGAGUCCGGGAGAGGUGAGUGGAACUGCGAGUGUAGAGGUGAAAUUCGUAGAUAUUCGCAAGAACACCAGUGGCGAAGGCGGCUCACUGGCCCGGUACUGACGCUGAGGUGCGAAAGCGUGGGGAGCAAACAGG